AUGGAUACAAAAACAGAAAUGAGCCAUGAACUUGAUGCCAAGAACAUUGAUUCCAAUGCUGAGAUAGAAACUGGUAAGAGUUCUGACGACGAGAGGUUAACAAUGGAACAACAAGAGGCCAUUGUUGAAAGCUUUACUUCUGCUCGUCAAUCUGUCAAUUCCUCUGAAAUCGAUUCUCUUGCAGAACCAGAUGUCCUGACUCCUCCAAUAAGACCUACUUUGAGAUCGAUAAUUGUAAUGGGCUCAAACAGCCACCAACUUCACACUCCUGCUCCACAAUCGGUUAAAGAUAGCUCUGCUGUUGUAGAUACUGAUCCAGAAUCUGUU
RNAcentral lists this long non-coding RNA (327 nucleotides) under Linum usitatissimum (flax). Its description in RNAcentral is "long non-coding RNA (LUSI_LNC006527)". Lineage: Eukaryota; Viridiplantae; Streptophyta; Magnoliopsida; Malpighiales; Linaceae. The record is from RNAcentral.